This 1435-nucleotide ribosomal RNA is filed under the name uncultured organism. RNAcentral's name for it is "bacterial SSU rRNA". It matches the Rfam family "Bacterial small subunit ribosomal RNA". The record is from RNAcentral.
UUGAUCCUGGCUCAGGAUGAACGCUGGCGGCGUGCCUAAUACAUGCAAGUCGAACGGGAGCCCUUGAUUUCGAUUGAGGGUGAGAGUGGCGCACGGGUGCGUAACACGUAGCUGACCUGCCCUUUGCAGGGGGAUAACUUGCUGAAAGGUGAGCUAAUACCGCGUAGGCUCGUCGGGAUUAGAAGCCCAAUGAGUAAAGAGAUGGCAUCGGCAAAGGAGGGGGCUGCGGCCCAUCAGCUAGUUGGUGAGGUAACGGCUCACCAAGGCGACGACGGGUAGGGGGCCUGAGAGGGUGACCCCCCACACUGGCACUGAGACACGGGCCAGACUCCUACGGGAGGCAGCAGUAAGGAAUAUUGCCCAAUGGGCGCCAGCCUGAGGCAGCAACGCCGCGUGGAGGAUGACGGUCUUCGGAUUGUAAACUCCUUUUCGGUGGGAAGAGGACGGACGGUACCACCGGAAGAAGUCUCGGCUAACUACGUGCCAGCAGCCGCGGUAAAACGUAGGAGGCGAGCGUUAUCCGGAUUUACUGGGCGUAAAGCGCGCGCAGGUGGUGGCUGAAGUGGUGCGUGAAAGCUCCCGGCUCAACUGGGAGAGGCCGUACCAAACUCGGUCACUGGAGACAGAUAGAGGCUGACGGAAUUCCGGGUGGAGUGGUGAAAUGCGUAGAGAUCCGGAGGAACACCAGUGGCGAAGGCGGUCAGCUGGGUCUGAUCUGACACUGAGGUGCGAAAGCGUGGGGAGCGAACGGGAUUAGAAACCCCGGUAGUCCACGCCGUAAACGAUGCAGACUAGAUGUUGGAUAUCGAAAGGUAUUCAGUGCCGCAGCCAACGCGAUAAGUCUGCCGCCUGGGGAGUACGGUCGCAAGGCUAAAACUCAAAGGAAUUGACGGGGGCCCGCACAAGCAGCGGAGCGUGUGGUUUAAUUCGAGGCUACGCGAAGAACCUUACCUGGACUUGACAUGCUGGUAGUAGGGAACCGAAAGGGGACCGACUUCGGAGCCAGCACAGGUGCUGCAUGGCUGUCGUCAGCUCGUGCCGUGAGGUGUUCGGUUAAGUCCGAAAACGAGCGCAACCCCUGGCGUUAGUUACAAGUGUCUAACGCGACUGCCCGGGGAAACCGGGAGGAAGGUGGGGAUGACGUCAAGUCAGCAUGGCCUUGAUGUCCAGGGCUACACACACGCUACAAUGGCCGGUACAAUAGGCAGCCAAGCCGCGAGGUGGAGCGAAUCCAGGAAAGCCGGUCACAGUUCGGAUUGUAGGCUGCAACUCGCCUGCAUGAAGUCGGAGUUGCUAGUAAACGCGGAUCAGCUACGCCGCGUUGAUACGUUCCCGGGCCUUGUACACACCGCCCGUCACGUCAUGGGAGCUGGUCACGCCUGAAGUCGGUGAGCCAACCGUAAGGGAGCAGCCGCCGAGGGUGGGGCUGGUGACU